ACGGGGUGCACAGGCGCGAAAACUUCACACUGUGCGAAAGCACGAUGAGGGAAUCCCAAGUGCCAGCUCGUAAGAGUUGGCUGUUUUUCUGUCUAAAACACAGAGAGAGUAAGAGCUGGGUAAGACGGGUGCCAGCCGCCGCGGUAAUACCUGCAGCUCAAGUGGUGACCGUUAUUAUUGGGCCUAAAACGUCCGUAGCCGGUUUAGUAAAUGCCUGGGUAAAUCGUGUAGCUUAACUAUACGAAUUCCGGGUAGACUGCUGAACUUGAGACCGGGAGAGGCUAGAGGUACUCCUGGGGUAGAGGUGAAAUUCUGUAAUCCUGGGGGGACCACCAGUGGCGAAGGCGUCUAGCUAGAACGGACCUGACGGUGAGGGACGAAGCCCUGGGGCGCAAACCGGAUUAGAUACCCGGGUAGUCCAGGGUGUAAACGCUGCUUGCUUGAUGUUAGUUGGGCUCCGAGCCCAAUUAGUGUCGGAGAGAAGUUGUUAAGCAAGCUGCCUGGAAGUACGCCGCAAGAC
RNAcentral lists this ribosomal RNA (520 nucleotides) under uncultured archaeon. RNAcentral describes it as "bacterial SSU rRNA". It matches the Rfam family "Archaeal small subunit ribosomal RNA", at positions 325 to 849 of the family's 1478-position model. The record is from RNAcentral.